This 251-nucleotide ribosomal RNA is filed under the name uncultured bacterium. Its description in RNAcentral is "partial 16S ribosomal RNA". It matches the Rfam family "Bacterial small subunit ribosomal RNA", at positions 524 to 776 of the family's 1533-position model. The record is from RNAcentral.
GACGGGGGGGGCAAGUGUUCUUCGGAAUGACUGGGCGUCAAGGGCACGUAGGCGGUGAAUCAGGUUGAAAGUGAAAGUCGCCAAAAAGUGGCGGAAUGCUCUCGAAACCAAUUCACUUGAGUGGGACAGAGGAGAGUGGAAUUUCGUGUGUAGGGGUGAAAUCCGUAGAUCUACGAAGGAAGGUCAAAAGCGAAGGCAGCUCUCUGGGUCCCUACCGACGCUGGGGUGCGAAAGCAUGGGGAGCGAACAGG